This 427-nucleotide ribosomal RNA is filed under the name uncultured bacterium. RNAcentral describes it as "bacterial SSU rRNA". It matches the Rfam family "Bacterial small subunit ribosomal RNA", at positions 355 to 774 of the family's 1533-position model. The record is from RNAcentral.
UGGGGAAUUUUGGACAAUGGGCGAAAGCCUGAUCCAGCAAUGCCGCGUGUGUGAAGAAGGCCUUCGGGUUGUAAAGCACUUUUGUCCGGAAAGAAAUCCUCUGGGUUAAUACCUCGGGGGGAUGACGGUACCGGAAGAAUAAGCACCGGCUAACUACGUGCCAGCAGCCGCGGUAAUACGUAGGGUGCAAGCGUUAAUCGGAAUUACUGGGCGUAAAGCGUGCGCAGGCGGUUUUGUAAGACGGAUGUGAAAUCCCCGGGCUUAACAUGGGAACUGCAUUCGUGACUGCAAGGCUAGCGUAUGGCAGAGGGGGGUAGAAUUCCACGUGUAGCAGUGAAAUGCGUAGAGAUGGGGAGGAAUACCGAUGGCGAAGGCAGCCCCCUGGGCCAAUACUGACGCUCAUGCACGAAAGCGUGGGGAGCAAACA